Molecule: long non-coding RNA, 323 nt
Filed under: Sinocyclocheilus anshuiensis
Lineage: Eukaryota; Metazoa; Chordata; Actinopteri; Cypriniformes; Cyprinidae
Description: lncRNA (ENSSANG00000042213.1)
Source: RNAcentral
CCGGUAUAUAACUCACCGCAGCCCGCUGCAGCGUCAUUCUCGCUUUCUUCCCCGUGAAGAUUGUGGAAGCUGUACUCGACUGACGCAUUAUUGGAUUUACCGUUCAACUGUUUACGGACGAAGGUGACCGGCGACGUCGCAAACGCGGUGUGUAUGAUUGAACAUUCUCUUAAGAAUAUGAGAAAAGACGGUCAAACAUCCAUGAAGAAUCCCACAGCAGCCAAUUAAAACGCUGCCCAACUGAGAAGACCAUUUCUUCUGGGCAACUGCAGGUUCUUUUGUGGUUGCCAUGACGAAGAUUCUUUAAUGACGUCGUCGCUGCC